Molecule: unclassified non-coding RNA, 359 nt
Filed under: soil metagenome
Description: partial contains 5.8S ribosomal RNA, internal transcribed spacer 2, and large subunit ribosomal RNA
Rfam family: 5.8S ribosomal RNA (bases 1-119)
Source: RNAcentral
AUGAAGAACGCAGCGAAAUGCGAUAAGUAAUGCGAAUUGCAGAAUUCAGUGAAUCAUCGAAUCUUUGAACGCACAUUGCGCCCGCCAGUAUUCUGGCGGGCAUGCCUGUCUGAGCGUCGUUUCGACCCUCGCGCCCGGCUUCUGUCGGGGGCGGUGUUGGGGAUCGGCCACACCCUUCAGUGGGAGGCCGGCCCCUAAAUUCAGUGGCGACCACGCUGUAGCCUCCCCUGCGUAGUACUAAAACCACCUCGCAGGCGGAGAGCGGUGCGGCCCGCCGUAAAACCCCCCAACUUUUACAAGGUCGACCUCAGAUCAGGUAGGAAUACCCGCUGAACUUAAGCAUAUCAAUAAGCGGAGGA